AGAGUUUGAUCAUGGCUCAGGAUGAACGUUGGCGGCGUGCCUAAUACAUGCAAGUCGAACGAAGACUGUAGUAAUACUGUCUUAGUGGCGAACGGGUGAGUAACGCGUGGGUGACCUGCCCCGAAGUGUGGGAUAACAGUCCGAAAGGAUUGCUAAUACUGCAUAAUAUCCAAGAGAUUAGAUGCUUUUGGAUUAAAGGAGUAAUUCGCUUCGGGAGGGGCCCGCGUCCCAUCAGCUAGUUGGUAAGGUAAUGGCUUACCAAGGCGAUGACGGGUAGGGGACCUGAGAGGGUGGCCCCCACAAUGGAACUGAAACACGGUCCAUACACCUACGGGUGGCAGCAGUAGGGAAUAUUAGUAAUGGGCGAAAGCCUGAACUAGCAACGCCGCGUGUGCGAAGAAGGCCUUCGGGUCGUAAAGCACUUUUUGAGAGGAUGAGGAAGGACGGUACUCUCAGAAUAAGUCUCGGCUAACUACGUG
Molecule: ribosomal RNA, 479 nt
Filed under: uncultured bacterium
Lineage: Bacteria
Description: bacterial SSU rRNA
Rfam family: Bacterial small subunit ribosomal RNA
Source: RNAcentral